CGCCUCUCUCUCAUUGGUUAGGGGGCUUGGAAAAAAGAGACUCGGCGAGCUCUCGCUGUGGUGCUGCCGCCGCCGCUGGAGUUGACUCUUCUGCUCGCACUGCUGCUGCAGCACAAACGUGACUUCCAACAUUUAUUUAUCUUUGCCUUUUCUUUUCCAAGAUGUAACUACAGAUCAGACACUAAGGACCUUCACGUUUCGCUGAUGUAGUUUUUGGAGGAAAAAGGGGGGGCAGUGAAGGGCGUCGGUUUCUUUUUUUUUUUGUGUGUGUGUGUGUUUCGGGGGAAAUUUUCCAUUAUGGGUGUUUUACUAAAGUGAAUUUUUUUUUUGUUUUGUUUUGUUUGUUUGCUUCGUUCGUCUUUGGCUCUUUUUUUUUCCUUCCCAAUUUCGGAUUUAUUUCAAGGCGAAUCGGGCUUUGGGGGAAGAGGAAGAAAAGUCGGAUUACAAGAACAACCACCACCAACAACAAUAAAAACCACCAGGAUAUUUUUUUGCAAAUUUCUGACGGCUUUAAAUUCAUGAAGCAAUUGUCCCCCUUUGCAAUCAGCAUUUGGAUCUCAGAAUGAGCAAGGAAAGACCCAAGAGGAAUAUCAUUCAGAAGAAAUACGAUGACAGUGAUGGGAUUCCAUGGUCAGAAGAAAGGGUGGUACGUAAAGUCCUUUACUUGUCUCUGAAGGAGUUCAAGAAUGCUCAGAAGAGACAGCAUGGUGAAGGCAUUGCUGGGAGCCUGAAAACAGUAAAUGGUACUAGUCCCUGAAGGGAAAUCCAAAAAGGACAUCAGUAUUUCUAGAGUAAAUAUUUAGCCCUUGAAGAUUAACUAGUUUGAAUUGGUAAUACUUCAGAUGCCUUUCUUCUCUUCCACCCCCAGCCCAAAAAAUAUUUAUGUACUUAAAAAAGAACCCUUCAGUAUAUUAUUAUAAUUAAAAUUUUCUGCUUGAAUUUUUUUUACUAUUACAAUUGUUUAUUUCUUAGGCAUUCACUCCUGUAAAAGGUUCAAAGUAGAUGAGGUAUGAUUUUUUUUCCCCAUUCAAAAGAGAUAUGUGCCUUUAAAUUCUUUUCUAUCCAUCACAAGUCAUUGUGUAGGGUUAACUGUGGUAAAGUGCUGCUUCCUGAUGUCAUGUGUUUAAGUGUUUGUCCCCUUUUCUCACCUGUAGGGCUCCUUGGUAAUGGCCAGUCUAAGGGAUUAGGACCAGCAUCAGAACAGUCAGAGAAUGAGAAGGAUGAUGCAUCCCAAGUGUCCUCUACUAGCAACGAUGUUAGUUCUUCAGAUUUUGAAGAAGGGCCGUCGAGGAAAAGGUUAGUACCCAAGGCUGAAAGUAUUGGUGCCUUAAAUCAGGGACUGCAAACUAGGUGCCAGUUUUUGCCACAUGGAAACAAACUUGGGCCCAUUCAUGCAAUCUCCUGAUUUUUCAUAGAGGAGUCAGAGUUCUGAAUUUUUAUAUUAAAUGUCCUGGUUUCAAAAUA
This is an RNA transcript of Myotis brandtii (Brandt's bat), 1464 nucleotides long. It is a transcript of the gene named protein Jumonji-like, with no coding region annotated. The transcript has 3 exons. The record is from RefSeq and is a predicted model, not a curated record. Lineage: Eukaryota; Metazoa; Chordata; Mammalia; Chiroptera; Vespertilionidae.